Molecule: long non-coding RNA, 625 nt
Filed under: Homo sapiens (human)
Lineage: Eukaryota; Metazoa; Chordata; Mammalia; Primates; Hominidae
Description: HSALNT0260250
Source: RNAcentral
UCCUCAGGAGUUGUGGCUGUGUGCUUUACUGCACAGACCAGUUUGUUUGUGAGAAUGUGUCACCUAAUGCGAGUGAACCUACAUGAGAUCAUCACCCUUCCUGGGGGACCUCAGAGAAGAACUGAGAACCGCUGGCUCAGGUGUGUGGAGGAGGUUGCAGAUGAGGAAACUGAGGCCUAGGAGGUUGAGUGUCUUGCCCAAGGUCAAACACCUGGUAUAUUCCCGGCACUGACUGUCAGGCCUCUGAGCCCACGCUAAGCCAUCAUAACCUGUGACCUGCACGUAUACAUCCAGAUGGCCUGGAGCAACUGAAGAACCACAAAAGAAGUGAAACAGCCAAUUCCUGCCUUAACUGAUGACAGUCCACCGUUGUGAUUUGUUCCUGCCGCACCCUAACUAAUCAAUUGACCUUGUGACAUUCCCCCCCGGACAAUGAAUCUCAUGAUCUCUCCACCGUGCACCUUGUGACCCGCCCCCUGCCCACAAGAGAUAACUACCUUUAACUGUAAUUUUCCACUACCUACCCAAAUCCUGUAAAACUGUCCCACCCCCAUCUCCCUUUGCUGACUCCUUUUUCAGAUUCAGCCCACUUGCACCCAAGUGAAUAAACAGCCUCGUUGCUCAC